RNAcentral lists this ribosomal RNA (500 nucleotides) under uncultured bacterium. Its description in RNAcentral is "partial 16S ribosomal RNA". It matches the Rfam family "Bacterial small subunit ribosomal RNA", at positions 30 to 523 of the family's 1533-position model. The record is from RNAcentral.
AUUGAACGCUGGCGGUAUGCUUUACACAUGCAAGUCGAACGGCAGCACGGACUUCGGUCUGGUGGCGAGUGGCGAACGGGUGAGUAAUGUAUCGGAACGUGCCCAGUCGUGGGGGAUAACGUAGUGAAAAUUACGCUAAUACCGCAUACGAUCUAUGGAUGAAAGCGGGGGAUCGCAAGACCUCGCGCGAUUGGAGCGGCCGAUAUCAGAUUAGGUAGGUGGGAGGGGAAAGGCCUACCAAGCCGACGAUCUGUAGCUGGUCUGAGAGGAUGAUCAGCCACACUGGGACUGAGACACGGCCCAGACUCCUACGGGAGGCAGCAGUGGGGAAUUUUGGACAAUGGACGCAAGUCUGAUCCAGCCAUUCCGCGUGCAGGAUGAAGGCCCUCGGGUUGUAAACUGCUUUUGUACAGAACGAAAAGGCUCUGGUUAAUACCUAGGGCUCAUGACGGUACUGUAAGAAUAAGCACCGGCUAACUACGUGCCAGCAGCCGCAGUAA